GAGGUACUAGUAAAACUGAUAAUUACACUGCUUUGUCAAGGCAGAAUCGCAGGUUUGACUCCCGCGUACCUUU
RNAcentral lists this transfer RNA (73 nucleotides) under Calamus penna (sheepshead porgy). RNAcentral's name for it is "tRNA-Asp". It matches the Rfam family "tRNA". Rfam says of the family: Transfer RNA (tRNA) molecules are approximately 80 nucleotides in length. Lineage: Eukaryota; Metazoa; Chordata; Actinopteri; Spariformes; Sparidae. The record is from RNAcentral.